CGUCUUGAAACACGGACCAAGGAGUCUAACAUGUGCGCGAGUCAUUGGGUCUUGCUCAGGCCCAAAGGCGCAAUGAAAGUGAAGGCCGGCUCGGUCGGCUGCGUUGGGAUCCCGCCCUCUAGGGCGGGCGCACCAACGGCCCGUCCCAGUCGCUGCGUCGACGGGGCGGAGUGAGAGCGUACACGUUGGGACCCGAAAGAUGGUGAACUAUGCCUGGGCAGGACGAAGCCAGAGGAAACUCUGGUGGAGGUCCGCAGCGAUUCUGACGUGCAAAUCGAUCGUCAGACCUGGGUAUAGGGGCGAAAGACUAAUCGAACCAUCUAGUAGCUGGUUCCCUCCGAAGUUUCCCUCAGGAUAGCUGGCGCUCGGAGGAAGCAUUCUCAUCCGGUAAAGCGAAUGAUUAGAGGCCUUGGGGCCGAAACGACCUCAACCUAUUCUCAAACUUUAAAUGGGUGAGAAGUCCGGCUUGCUCGACUGAAGCCCGGACGUGAGGAUGCGAGUGCCCAGUGGGCCACUUUUGGUAAGCAGAACUGGCGCUGUGGA
This 543-nucleotide ribosomal RNA is filed under the name Stylocellus sp. Peninsula 18. RNAcentral's name for it is "eukaryotic LSU rRNA". It matches the Rfam family "Eukaryotic large subunit ribosomal RNA", at positions 650 to 1162 of the family's 3401-position model. Lineage: Eukaryota; Metazoa; Arthropoda; Arachnida; Opiliones; Stylocellidae. The record is from RNAcentral.